Molecule: ribosomal RNA, 253 nt
Filed under: uncultured bacterium
Lineage: Bacteria
Description: partial 16S ribosomal RNA
Rfam family: Bacterial small subunit ribosomal RNA
Source: RNAcentral
UACAGAGGGUGCAAGCGUUAUUCGGAAUCACUGGGCGUAAAGCGCAUGCAGGUUGAUUAUUAAGUCAGAUGUGAAAUCCCGGGGCUUAACUUCGGAAUUGCAUUUGAAACUGGUAGUCUUGAGUAUGGGAGAGGGAAGUGGAAUUCCAGGUGUAGAGGUGAAAUUCGUAGAUAUCUGGAGGAACACCCGAGGCGAAGGCGGCUUCCUGGCCCAUUACUGACACUCAGAUGCGAAAGCGUGGGUAGCAAACAGG